This 253-nucleotide ribosomal RNA is filed under the name uncultured bacterium. RNAcentral describes it as "partial 16S ribosomal RNA". It matches the Rfam family "Bacterial small subunit ribosomal RNA", at positions 524 to 776 of the family's 1533-position model. The record is from RNAcentral.
UACGGGGGGGGCAAGCGUUGUUCGGAAUUACUGGGCGUAAAGGGUUCGUAGGUGGCUCGCUAAGUCAGACGUGAAAUCCCUCAGCUUAACUGGGGAACUGCGUCUGAGACUGGCAAGCUUGAGUGCAGGAGAGGAACGCGGAAUUCCAGGUGUAGCGGUGAAAUGCGUAGAUAUCUGGAGGAACACCUAUAGCGAAGGCAGCUUGCUGGGACGUAACUGACGCUAAGGCGCGAAAGCAUGGGGAGCGAACAGG